RNAcentral lists this long non-coding RNA (406 nucleotides) under Actinidia chinensis (golden kiwifruit). Its description in RNAcentral is "long non-coding RNA (ACHI_LNC008365)". Lineage: Eukaryota; Viridiplantae; Streptophyta; Magnoliopsida; Ericales; Actinidiaceae. The record is from RNAcentral.
UUAUUUCUCAUUAUCAUAUUUGAUCAUAGCAUAUAACUUCUCUAGUCUCCUAUGUUUUUCUAUCUUUCUUUUUCUUUGCUCUCUCUCCCCACUAUUUUCUUUUUUUUUCUUCUCUCAUUUCUCUCCCUCAUUUAUAGAAAAUGUCUUCAAAAGAAGAUAAAAAGUCCGACGGCCAUGGGUGAGUCACCUCAUGAGGUGGCCCCAUAGUUAAAUCAAUAAACCAUGAUUGGCACGUAUCUCAAAAUGGGACACGCGUUUAGUCUUCUAUUUUAUUUUAUCAAAAAAUAUUUUUGGAUAAAAAUCAUGUCAUCAUACAAAUUUUAAAAAUUACAAAAAUUCUACCGAUGUAUUUAUAUAUUUUCUCUUAUUAUAAUUAAAUAAAAAUAAUUAAGGGUCGGGAUAUUAC